UGCAUUGGGCGGCGGGCGUGCGUGGCGAGAGUUACGCGGCGUGCGCCGCGCAGCGUUUACCACGUGCUAGGGAGGAGUUCGUCCCAUCGAUUACGAAACGAAAUUUCCUCGAGUCCCGUGCAACAUUCACGAAAAAUCGUGCUUUUAUUUUCAUCGAGCUGCGCGGAUUAACGCGCGAAUGGAUGAGUUUGAACGUCGAUAGAUCGAUUAAUGUGUCGUAGUAUUUAAAUUUGUAGGAAUUGAAAUGAUCGUGCUUUCUUCGUGAUUAUCGUGACUCGUUUUAAUUCCGAGGUGAACAUUUUCUGUGGUGAAAAUAUGGUAACAAUCUUUUGCAUCGUUAAACAUUGAAAAUACCAGACAACGGAUAGUAAAUCAGAGGGAGGAUUUCACGGACGAACAGUGUGCACGCUGCAGCGAUAGAUAACGGAGGCCGAGACCGUUGUUGGCGGAGAACAGGGCAGUUUUAAGGUGCUGAUUUAUCGUGAACACCGUUUAAAGAUGAAAGCAUACUUCGUCGAGAAAUCGUGACUCGUUAAUCGCUACCAUCGUCGAUUUCUUUGACCAGUUAUUAACGAGCCGCUGAAUCGCGUCGAUCCUAUUCCCGGAUGAUCGAGAAAACAUAUGGAUUUUUUUUAUCCUUUCACGCUGUAAUAUAAAAAUAAAAAAGUAAAAAAUUCGAAACGAAA
Apis cerana (Asiatic honeybee) is the source of this 686-nucleotide long non-coding RNA. RefSeq lists it as uncharacterized. NCBI's taxonomy places the organism in Eukaryota, Metazoa, Arthropoda, Insecta, Hymenoptera, Apidae. The record is from RefSeq and is a predicted model, not a curated record.